This 638-nucleotide ribosomal RNA is filed under the name Reyranella sp. RNAcentral's name for it is "bacterial SSU rRNA". It matches the Rfam family "Bacterial small subunit ribosomal RNA", at positions 69 to 752 of the family's 1533-position model. The record is from RNAcentral. Lineage: Bacteria; Pseudomonadati; Pseudomonadota; Alphaproteobacteria; Hyphomicrobiales; Reyranellaceae.
CGUGUAGCAAUACACGAGUGGCGCACGGGUGAGUAACACGUGGAUAUCUGCCUUUUGGUUCGGAAUAACCCUGGGAAACUAGGGCUAAUACCGAAUGGUUCCUACGGGAUAAAGAUUUAUCGCCAAAAGAUGAGUCCGCGUCCGAUUAGCUAGUUGGUGAGGUAAUGGCUCACCAAGGCGACGAUCGGUAGCUGGUCUGAGAGGACGAUCAGCCACACUGGGACUGAGACACGGCCCAGACUCCUACGGGAGGCAGCAGUGGGGAAUAUUGGACAAUGGGGGCAACCCUGAUCCAGCCAUGCCGCGUGAGUGAUGAAGGCCUUCGGGUUGUAAAGCUCUUUUGGCGGGGACGAUGAUGACGGUACCCGCAGAAUAAGCCCCGGCUAACUUCGUGCCAGCAGCCGCGGUAAGACGAAGGGGGCUAGCGUUGUUCGGAAUUACUGGGCGUAAAGCGAGUGUAGGCGGUUAUCCAAGUCAGGUGUGAAAGCCUUGAGCUCAACUCAAGAAAUGCACUUGAUACUGGGUGACUAGAGGACCGGAGAGGAUAGUGGAAUUCCCAGUGUAGUGGUGAAAUACGUAGAGAUUGGGAAGAACACCAGUGGCGAAGGCGGCUAUCUGGACGGUUACUGACGCUAGAC